Molecule: long non-coding RNA, 137 nt
Organism: Thalassophryne amazonica
Lineage: Eukaryota; Metazoa; Chordata; Actinopteri; Batrachoidiformes; Batrachoididae
Exons: 2
Source: RefSeq, a predicted model, not a curated record
AGAUUAAUAGAAAUGUGUUGCCAAAAUUAUUUUUACAAGCAAAAGAAACAUGAAAACCUAUUUACUCUGCGUAUAAAAUUUUUAUCUUUCAUCCUCCAAGAGCCUAGAAAAUUGAUUCAUAAACAAAAGUGAGAAAA